CAAUAGCGUAUAUUAAAGUUGUUGCAGUUAAAAAGCUCGUAGUUGGAUUUCUGGUGGGAGCGAUCGGUCUGGCGCUUAGCGCGAGUACUUGCAUCGUCUCCGGCCAUCCUUGGGGAGAGUCUGUCUGGCAUUAGGUUGUCGGGCAGGGGAUCCUCAUCGUUUACUGUGAAAAAAUUAGAGUGUUCAAAGCAGGCUUAUGCCGUUGAAUAUAUUAGCAUGGAAUAAUAAGAUAGGACUUUGGUACUAUUUUGUUGGUUUGCAGACCGAAGUAAUGAUUAAUAGGGAUAGUUGGGGGUAUUUAUAUUCCAAUGUCAGAGGUGAAAUUCUUAGAUUUUUGGAAGAUAAACUUAUGCGAAAGCAUUUACCAAGGAUGUUUUCAUUAA
RNAcentral lists this ribosomal RNA (383 nucleotides) under uncultured eukaryote. Its description in RNAcentral is "partial 18S ribosomal RNA". It matches the Rfam family "Eukaryotic small subunit ribosomal RNA", at positions 592 to 976 of the family's 1831-position model. The record is from RNAcentral.